CCUACGGGUGGCAGCAGUGGGGAAUAUUGGGCAAUGGGCGCAAGCCUGACCCAGCAACGCCGCGUGAAGGAAGAAGGCUUUCGGGUUGUAAACUUCUUUUCUCAGGGACGAAGCAAGUGACGGUACCUGAGGACUAAGCCACGGCUAACUACGUGCCAGCAGCCGCGGUAAUACGUAGGUGGCAAGCGUUAUCCGGAUUUACUGGGUGUAAAGGGCGUGUAGGCGGGAAAGCAAGUCAGAUGUGAAAACCAUGGGCUCAACCUGUGGCCUGCAUUUGAAACUGUUUUUCUGGAGUACUGGAGAGGCAGACGGAAUUCCUAGUGUAGCGGUGAAAUGCGUAGAUAUUAGGAGGAACACCAGUGGCGAAGGCGGUCUGCUGGACAGCAACUGACGCUGAGGCGCGAAAGCGUGGGGAGCAAACAGGAUUAGAUACCCUGGUAGUC
RNAcentral lists this ribosomal RNA (443 nucleotides) under uncultured bacterium. Its description in RNAcentral is "partial 16S ribosomal RNA". It matches the Rfam family "Bacterial small subunit ribosomal RNA", at positions 338 to 795 of the family's 1533-position model. The record is from RNAcentral.